UGAGCUCGUUAAGACUGGAUAGGACCACCCACCCUCCAACUGGGCAUGCGCGAGUGUUUGAGCUCAGUGACCUUUGACAUCAGAGGGCCCAAAACUCCACCCUCAGAACGUGCAGGAGCCUGUAGCCUAGUUACGCCUGCGCAGAAUGUUAGGGCACCUUUUCCAAUCACCUUCCCCCACGCUCCCCUCGCCUCAGACCGCCCUGCCGCUUCGCUCUAUCCCAACCUGGAGAUUCAAGGAGCCUGCCUAAAGGCAGCUCCCGGAUGAAGACUGAGUUGAGGACUGCCAGCUUCCUCAGAGCACACAGAUUUCAGAAAGGAGGACCUAUGAUAAAUUCAAAGAGCCAUCAGGAAUACCCUGGACACAGGUCCCCAAACUAGCCCUGACUAAGUAAGUUGAGCAAGGCAUAAGAAGACAGGUUAAAAAAAAAAAAAAUCACCAUUUCUGGACCGUGCUUUUUCUCUGCGGCAAAAUGGCACUGAGGCAAUCACUGGGACAUUUUGUAAACAGGUACUUUUGACUUUUUUUUUUUUUAAUGGCUUGUGUAUUCCAGUGGAGUACCAGCCC
Camelus dromedarius (Arabian camel) is the source of this 567-nucleotide long non-coding RNA. RefSeq lists it as uncharacterized. The record is from RefSeq and is a predicted model, not a curated record. The transcript is spliced from 4 exons. NCBI's taxonomy places the organism in Eukaryota, Metazoa, Chordata, Mammalia, Artiodactyla, Camelidae.